This 503-nucleotide ribosomal RNA is filed under the name uncultured bacterium. Its description in RNAcentral is "partial 16S ribosomal RNA". It matches the Rfam family "Bacterial small subunit ribosomal RNA", at positions 29 to 523 of the family's 1533-position model. The record is from RNAcentral.
AAUGAACGCUGGCGGCAGGCUUAACACAUGCAAGCCGAGCGGAGUGAUGGUGCUUGCACUAUCACUUAGCGGCGGACGGGUGAGUAAUGCUUAGGAAUCUGCCUAUUAGUGGGGGACAACAUCUCGAAAGGGAUGCUAAUACCGCAUACGUCCUACGGGAGAAAGCAGGGGAUCACUUGUGACCUUGCGCUAAUAGAUGAGCCUAAGUCGGAUUAGCUAGUUGGUGGGGUAAAGGCCUACCAAGGCGACGAUCUGUAGCGGGUCUGAGAGGAUGAUCCGCCACACUGGGACUGAGACACGGCCCAGACUCCUACGGGAGGCAGCAGUGGGGAAUAUUGGACAAUGGGGGGAACCCUGAUCCAGCCAUGCCGCGUGUGUGAAGAAGGCCUUAUGGUUGUAAAGCACUUUAAGCGAGGAGGAGGCUCUUUUGGUUAAUACCCAAGAUGAGUGGACGUUACUCGCAGAAUAAGCACCGGCUAACUCUGUGCCAGCCGCCGCAGUAA